CCCCCCACCCAGCUGCAGUCGCCCUGCGACGUCGCACCCUCACGCCCCCAGCAGCCGCCUCCCAGCCUCUUCGCCUCCUCGGCGUUCGAUCCUCGAGUCCCAUCUAUUCAUCUUCAGUUUUUUGAAACACUGAAGAAAAGUGGUAUACAGCAGCUGGAUCAAUCUGCUCGGCCAGCAAGUAGCUUCUCCUCCAUACAAGCACAUCCCUAGAUUGAUCUGCUCUAGGAUUAACUACUUUGAUUUCGUCUUGGGUUUAUUACUAGAUUAAGUAAUCCACGACCAUUUUACCCAGGUUGUUGAACUAUUAUGGGGAAAUUUCUUCGACGGUAAUACGUAACAAUACAAUCCUUUUUCCCCUAACUAUACAAUUUCUAUUAUUAUGCUCCUUUGUUUUCCAUAUUUAUUUGUCAUAUUGUGAUUAUUCUGGUUACCUUGCAUCUAUCAAGCACCUUUGUAUUUUAAGGUUUUAGUAUUCUAUUAUGUUACAUGGAAAGUUUAGUAGUACACUUGCUGCACUGAAUCCCUACAGAUAAUUCCUAUCACUGAACAAUGUUUAGUGAAUCAAUAAUUCCUAUCACUGAAUGACAUUUAGUGAUUCAAAUGACAUUUAGUGAUUCAAUGAUUUUAUAUGUAUCUUGCAUACUUGGGGUACUAAAUGAUAAGAUGAAAUAUAACUGUAGAUAAUUCCCAACUUAUCAAAAGUUUGGUGAUCCUUUAGUCAGCCCUGUAAGCAUGUUUCAGUGAAGCCAUGGCUCAGAUGGAGAUUCUUUUUAUCAUGUGCAACACGAUGAUUCUUCAGGCUUUGGCAAUUCUUUCAGUAACCAUCAAUGAUAUACAGAUAAUGGUGAGUUUUUGAUCAAGUUUCCAAAAAGACGCGAAUAUUAGGGAAGAACCUAAUAUUUGGAAUGGGUGAGGCUUCGAACCCAGGUCGUCUAGCCCACCACCUUGUGGAGCUAGCUAGAAGAUCCUUGGUCGUUUCUCAUCACACUGUUUCCCCCAAACUACAAAAGCAAGCUGUUCAACAACGAUGUGCUUCUAAAAACUAAAGUUGUUGAAGUGGCUGACGCCACGCCGGCACUGAUGCUGAGAGGUGGGAAAGGGGACUUGAGUGUGGCUAUGGAUGGUGCAGGAGAGAUCACAAUCGGCAGCCUCUCCUCCCUGAUCACGUAUUGUAGUCCCGGCUUCCUGCCACCACGAGAUCGUCGAAGCCGCGCCGUCAAUAGUGGAAUCAGCCAUUAAUCGGUGCUAAAAGCCAAGACACCUCUGAAUUUAUUUAAUCAUCAAUUAAAAUAUUAUUACAUGUCUCCCGUAAUAUUGGGAAGAACGACAGACCAAAUCAAUCACUCGUAAGUUAUAAACUUCAACAAAAGGAAACAACUUAAAAAUUGAAAGGAAUAAAUAGGACAAUGUAAUGCAGGGUUGGCCAUUGGGUGAGAACCAUUAAUAAUGUCGUCGCUCAGUCAUGGAUGAAGGAAUAGAUGGGGAGGUACUACAUAAUCAUGCUUGUUUCAUUGUUUGAAUAUAAGCGACGACUUUAUCAAAGAAUACCUCGGCCUCCAUAGCAUCAGCUUCGCAACUUAAUAGGGUAAACCCCUAGUCGUGUGCUUGAGGAUUGGGUAGUCAAGCUUCCGUUGUUCUCUGAUAUAGCUAUAUUUGGCUGGUCGGCCCAUGUAUCUAUUAAGUAGUUUAAUCUGAAUUUUAUUUGCUUUAGAUGUAUUUUGCUAUGUAUAUUCAUGCUUAAGAUGAAAGUGUGAAUCUAGUGCACAUCCUGGGAGCUAGAUUCAUGUGAGUAUGAGUUAAAGAAUAUUUGAGAUGUUGUAGAUCUUUAGCCA
Non-coding RNA from Oryza sativa Japonica Group (Japanese rice), 1832 nucleotides. The record is from RefSeq and is a predicted model, not a curated record. NCBI's taxonomy places the organism in Eukaryota, Viridiplantae, Streptophyta, Magnoliopsida, Poales, Poaceae.